RNAcentral lists this ribosomal RNA (164 nucleotides) under uncultured bacterium. RNAcentral's name for it is "partial 16S rRNA". It matches the Rfam family "Bacterial small subunit ribosomal RNA", at positions 358 to 514 of the family's 1533-position model. The record is from RNAcentral.
GGAAUCUUCCACAAUGGACGCAAGUCUGAUGGAGCAACGCCGCGUGAGUGAAGAAGGGUUUCGGCUCGUAAAGCUCUGUUGUUAAAGAAGAACGUGGGUAAGAGUAACUGUUUACCCAGUGACGGUAUUUAACCAGAAAGCCACGGCUAACUACGUGCCAGCAG